AGAGUUUGAUCCUGGCUCAGAAUGAACGCUGGCGGCGUGCUUAACACAUGCAAGUCGUACGAGAACGCUUCAGCUUGCUGAAGCAAGUAAAGUGGCGUACGGGUGGGUAACGCGUGGGUAAUCUACCUCCGAAUUGGGGAUAACGUUGCGAAAGCGACGCUAAUACCGGAUAAUAUCGAGAGGACUUCGGUUCUUUUGAUCAAAGGUGGCCUCUCCUUGGAAGCUACUGUUUGGAGAUGAGCCCGCGUCCCAUUAGCUUGUUGGUGGGGUAAAGGCCCACCAAGGCGACGAUGGGUAGCUGGUCUGAGAGGAUGAUCAGCCACACUGGAACUGACACACGGUCCAGACUCCUACGGGAGGCAGCAGUGAGGAAUUUUGCGCAAUGGGGGAAACCCUGACGCAGCAACGCCGCGUGAGUGAUGAAGGCUUUCGGGUCGUAAAGCUCUGUCAAGUGGGAAGAACCACUUUGAGGAUAAUACCCUCGAGGUCUGACGGUACCACUGAAGGAAGCACCGGCUAACUCCGUGCCAGCAGCCGCGGUAAUACGGGGGGUGCAAGCGUUAUUCGGAUUUACUGGGCGUAAAGCGCGCGUAGGCGGCCGUUUAAGUCAGAUGUGAAAGCCCGGGGCUCAACCCCGGAAGUGCAUUUGAUACUAUUCGGCUUGAGUAUGGGAGAGGGAAGUGGAAUUCCUGGUGUAGAGGUGAAAUUCGUAGAUAUCAGGAGGAACACCGGUGGCGAAGGCGACUUCCUGGACCAAUACUGACGC
RNAcentral lists this ribosomal RNA (766 nucleotides) under uncultured delta proteobacterium. RNAcentral's name for it is "bacterial SSU rRNA". It matches the Rfam family "Bacterial small subunit ribosomal RNA", at positions 8 to 746 of the family's 1533-position model. Lineage: Bacteria; Deltaproteobacteria. The record is from RNAcentral.